GUGCUUGCUUCAGCAGCGCAUAUACUAAAAUUGGAUGGAUACAGAGAAGACUAGCAUGGUCUCUGAGCAAGGAUGAUGUGCAACUUCGGGAACUGUUCCAUAUUUUU
Molecule: small nuclear RNA, 107 nt
Filed under: Dasypus novemcinctus (nine-banded armadillo)
Lineage: Eukaryota; Metazoa; Chordata; Mammalia; Cingulata; Dasypodidae
Source: RNAcentral